AUAGUUAACUAGGGGCGCAUUUUGCUGAGACGGUUUUGACCGAACCCUUUGAACCUGUGAGCUAACCCUCGCGUAGGAAAGUUAUUAAAAGAGUCU
Molecule: non-coding RNA, 96 nt
Filed under: Secundilactobacillus kimchicus
Lineage: Bacteria; Bacillati; Bacillota; Bacilli; Lactobacillales; Lactobacillaceae
Also listed under: 1 other name
Description: Lactobacillus kimchicus TPP sequence
Rfam family: TPP riboswitch aptamer (THI element)
About the family: Vitamin B(1) in its active form thiamin pyrophosphate (TPP) is an essential coenzyme that is synthesised by coupling of pyrimidine and thiazole moieties in bacteria.
Source: RNAcentral